Molecule: ribosomal RNA, 422 nt
Filed under: uncultured bacterium
Lineage: Bacteria
Description: bacterial SSU rRNA
Rfam family: Bacterial small subunit ribosomal RNA
Source: RNAcentral
UGAGGAAUAUUGGUCAAUGGACGGAAGUCUGAACCAGCCAAGUCGCGUGAAGGAUGACUGCCCUAUGGGUUGUAAACUUCUUUUGUAUUGGGAGAAUAAGCCUUACGUGUAAGGUGAUGACUGUACAAUACGAAUAAGCAUCGGCUAACUCCGUGCCAGCAGCCGCGGUAAUACGGAGGGUGCGAGCGUUAAUCGGAAUCACUGGGCGUAAAGCGCUCGUAGGCUGUUUGUUAAGUCAGAGGUGAAAUCCCACGGCUCAACCGUGGAACUGCCUUUGAUACUGGCAGACUAGAAUCCGGGAGAGGGUGGCGGAAUUCCAGGUGUAGGAGUGAAAUCCGUAGAUAUUAGGAGGAACACCAGUGGCGAAGGCGGCCUGCUGGGCUUUAACUGACGCUGAGGCUCGAAAGCGUGGGGAGCAAACA